This is a long non-coding RNA of Felis catus (domestic cat), 1360 nucleotides long. RefSeq lists it as uncharacterized. The transcript has 3 exons. NCBI's taxonomy places the organism in Eukaryota, Metazoa, Chordata, Mammalia, Carnivora, Felidae. The record is from RefSeq and is a predicted model, not a curated record.
GGGGGGGGGCAGGGCUGGUCACCAGGACUUGCGGUAGAGAGGACAUGGGGCCUGAGGCCGGGGCACCCACACCCGGGAGCCGGCGUCCCGAAUCGAACCGUGGGCUCCACCUGUCUCGGAUCUCAGGUUCGGGGUGUCCCCCUCGGCCGCCUCGCUCUCCACGUGCUCUUGGGGCCCAACGACUCGUCCUUCCCCAGAUGUCUUCUUUGGGGCUGGAUGUGUCUUCACACGCUGCCAACCUGCAAGUCCAAACUCGACCGUGACUUCGCCGUGGGCCCAAGUGUCAGCGGUCGAUCUGUUGUCAGUUGAUGGCGGGCUCGUUUCUCAGAAGCCAGGCACGCGCGCGCACGUGCCGGAGCCCCAUUCUCUGGUGUGGAUCGUCUCUGCGUCGGUUCUGGAAAAAUGCUUUCAGGAGCACUGUUUCCAUUCCCAGUGAGUCGUGACCGUGCCUGUGUCUCAGUCCUCGUGCCUUUUCCCGAGCGAUGCCUCGCCUUCCGAAGACGCGCAGGUUGUAACAGAAUGAGGGUGGGAUUCCAGAAACGUCCGGACCUGAGCAACCCCCACCCCCACCGAGUUUCCCCGAGCCCCAGAGACAGCCAGCCCCCCUCCGCCCGCCCUGCCCGGGACAGCGCUGCCAGUCUGGGCGUCCCGUGGCCACCGUGUCAUGUGUCCCGGGAGUGGAGAGGGGUGGCCAGCAGGCUGAGUCUGCGGACCUUCGCCCUCCUGCAGGGAACAACUCUGGUGACUGAAAAGUCACCCCGUGUACCCACCGUGCUUGUGGGCGUUGAAACCCCCAGGCCCUCUGCCAGGGUCAGCGUGUUGGGGACUUUGGGCCGGUUUUGUACACGGUGAACAUCAGCCCGGGGGCCGCUUUGGUUUUGUUUUGUUUUGUGGAAAGAUUUUGGUUUUGAAGUGAUCUCCGCGCCCGGCGUGGGGCUGGCACUCCCCACCCAGAGAUCCGGGGUCCCAAGCUUCACGGAGCCAGCCAGGCGCCCCGCGGGGCCGCUUUGCUUUUGUAAGUGAACCUUCCAAGGAGGAGAAAGACACUGCUCAAAUCUGACUCUUUCUUAAGCGGUGGAUCCACUGACCUUGACACUUGAGAAGCUUGGAGGCGGAUGUCCCCUCAUGGCCAGCUGCAGGUUAGGCACUGUUGGCUGAAGAGCCACAGAAGCGACAGCGCCUGCCUCCUCCAGCUGCCUGGCCCCUCCCGUGUCCCGUGGCUGCCAUGUGAGGACAGAGCAAGAAGGAUCCGUCUAUGAACCAGGAAUCAGGUUCACACCAGACACCCGAUAUGCUGGCGCCGUGAUCGUGGACUUCCCAGCCUCCAGAACCACGAGAAAUAAAUUCUUGAUGUUUGUAA